Long non-coding RNA from Tympanuchus pallidicinctus (lesser prairie-chicken), 2143 nucleotides. RefSeq lists it as uncharacterized. NCBI's taxonomy places the organism in Eukaryota, Metazoa, Chordata, Aves, Galliformes, Phasianidae. The transcript is spliced from 2 exons. The record is from RefSeq and is a predicted model, not a curated record.
CCCCAGCUCACUGCAACCUCCCUUCAGGAAGUUAUAGAGAGCAAUGAGGUCUCCCCUGAGCCUCCUCUUCUCCAGGCUGAACAUUCCCAGCUCCUUCAGCCUCUCCUCAUAUGGCCUGUGUUCCAGACCCCUCACCAGCUUUGUUGCCCUCCUUUGAACACGUUCCAGGGCCUCAAUAUCUUUCUUGCAGUGAGGGGCCCAAAACUGGACACAGCACUCGAGGUGCGGCCUCACCAGUGCUGAAUACAGGGGAACAAUCACCUCUCUGCUCCUGCUUGCAACGCUGUUUCUGAUGCAAGCCAGGCUGCCAUUGGCCUUCUUGGCCACCUGGGCACACUGUGGCUCAUGUUCAGCCCAGCAUCCAUCAAUACCCCCAGGUCCAUUUCCUCUACGCCGUCCUCCAGCCACACCGCCCCAAGCCUGCAGCGUCGCCUGGGGUUGUUGUGGCCGAAGUGCAGGACCCAGCAUUUGGCCUUGUUGAAACUCAUCCCAUUGGCUUCAGCCCAGCUCUCCAGCCUGUCCAGGUCCCUCUGUAGGGCCUCGCUACCCCCAGGCAGAUCCACACUUCCAGCCAAUUUGGUGUCAUCUGUGAAUUUACUGAGGCUGCACUCGAUGCCCUCAUCCAGGUCAUCAAUAAAGAUAUUGAAGAGGACAGGCCCAGCACCGACCCCUGGGGAACACCGCUCACGACCGGUCGCCAGCUGGAUUUGACUCCAUUCACCACCACUCUCUGUGCCCGGCCCUCCAGCUCCUCACCCAGCCAAGAGUGCAGCCAUCCAAGCCUCUGGCUGCCAGCUUCUGCAGGAGAUGCUGUGGGAGAUGGUGUCAAAGGCUUUGCUGAAGUCUAGGUAGAGCACAUCAACAGCCUUUCCCUCAUCCACCAGAUGGGUCACCGCAUCAUAAAGGAGAUCAGGUUGGUCAAACAGGACCUGCCCUUCACAAAUCCAUGCUGCUGGGCCUGAUCCCCCCCCCGGUCACCCCACACGUGCCGCAUGGUCUCCCUCAAGACAAUCAGCUCCAUCACCUUCCCUGGAGUAGGGGAAAAAUGCUUACCUGCUGAGGUACCUACUUUGUUCCCCAUAUCUGCCCAUUUAUAGCUUACUAAUAGUGAUAGAUGCUAAAAAUGUCUCUGUGUGAGAUCUGAGAAGUGAAGAAAGAGGAUGAAUUUAUCUUUAGGGAAGAAAAGAAAAAAGACAUCAUGCAUGAAAUAAGGUAUCAGACCUGCUUUGUGUAUUACCUUUUGAGACUGCGUCUUUCUAAUGAAGGAUCCUAGCAGAGACUGCAGAAAUACAAGAAAGACUACUCAGAGUAGCAGCUGUUUCAUCUGCAGGAGAUGGAUUGGGUUCUUUCUCUGGGUCCAUGGGCCUGGGAUCUAGUGGGUUGUCUGACCCAUCCCAGUGAUUAUUUAAGGUUGCACCAGAAUGUUUUUAACUCAGCACACUUGACUCAGAUGUCUCUCACUCAGAGCAGGGGAAAAAUGGUGCAGAGUGAAAGCAUGAAGGAAAUAAAAGAGCAGCUACAGGUGUGCAACGGCGCCUUUGUGUAUUUGUCCAUAUCAUAUUCAUACGAAGGUUGCAUCUCUUCUUUCACUCGUACUGCCUUGUAACAGUUUUCUGAUGCUAAUCCUAAAAGCAUUCUCAUCUUUUAUUGAUCAUCUGACACCUAUAGCUCAUCUCCUUACUCUUCAAAAAUCCUGCUAUCAACUUAGCCUAUUUCAGUAAAAAUGCACAUGUAUUUCACAACUGUCACCAGCACACACUCCUUUUGUUGAUGAAUUCACUGUGAAAUGCUUUUUUCCAUGUCUGUUCUUUUGACGUUUUGAAGACCUGCAACGACAUUGGUAAUUUCAAAAUUUAGUAAGAUUUGUUUUUCCUUGCAGAUCCCUGAUUUGACAAAACAAUGGCUUAAAGGACCUUCCAUAAUUUCACAGGCAAAUAUAGGCAAUUCAGUGUGGAAAGGCAGUUUGGACAACCAUGUAGCUCUCAGCUAUCUUUGGGAAUCUUUCAGACUUUGGAGGCAAGAGAGAUGUCCUCCUUGGAGACAUUUUGUUUGUUUCUCAUUUGGUUUCUAGUGAAGAAGCAAUGGAAAUGGCCUUUUUAUCACAUCUUCAAGCAUAGCAAGGAUUAUGAUUUUUUUCUGUCAA